GCGUGCUAUACAUGCAAGUCGAGCGAACAGAUGAGAAGCUUGCUUCUCUGAUGUUAGCGGCGGACGGGUGAGUAACACGUGGGUAACCUACCUAUAAGACUGGGAUAACUCCGGGAAACCGGGGCUAAUACCGGAUAAUAUUUUGAACCGCAUGGUUCAAUAGUGAAAGACGGUUUCGGCUGUCACUUAUAGAUGGACCCGCGCCGUAUUAGCUAGUUGGUAAGGUAACGGCUUACCAAGGCGACGAUACGUAGCCGACCUGAGAGGGUGAUCGGCCACACUGGAACUGAGACACGGUCCAGACUCCUACGGGAGGCAGCAGUAGGGAAUCUUCCGCAAUGGGCGAAAGCCUGACGGAGCAACGCCGCGUGAGUGAUGAAGGUCUUCGGAUCGUAAAACUCUGUUGUUAGGGAAGAACAAAUUUGUUAGUAACUGAACAAGUCUUGACGGUACCUAACCAGAAAGCCACGGCUAACUACGUGCCAGCAGCCGCGGUAAUACGUAGGUGGCAAGCGUUAUCCGGAAUUAUUGGGCGUAAAGCGCGCGUAGGCGGUUUCUUAAGUCUGAUGUGAAAGCCCACGGCUCAACCGUGGAGGGUCAUUGGAAACUGGGAAACUUGAGUGCAGAAGAGGAGAGUGGAAUUCCAUGUGUAGCGGUGAAAUGCGCAGAGAUAUGGAGGAACACCAGUGGCGAAGGCGGCUCUCUGGUCUGUAACUGACGCUGAUGUGCGAAAGCGUGGGGAUCAAACAGGAUUAGAUACCCUGGUAGUCCACGCCGUAAACGAUGAGUGCUAAGUGUUA
RNAcentral lists this ribosomal RNA (800 nucleotides) under Mammaliicoccus sciuri. RNAcentral's name for it is "bacterial SSU rRNA". It matches the Rfam family "Bacterial small subunit ribosomal RNA", at positions 42 to 825 of the family's 1533-position model. The record is from RNAcentral. Lineage: Bacteria; Bacillati; Bacillota; Bacilli; Caryophanales; Staphylococcaceae.